RNAcentral lists this ribosomal RNA (493 nucleotides) under Rothia kristinae. RNAcentral describes it as "bacterial SSU rRNA". It matches the Rfam family "Bacterial small subunit ribosomal RNA", at positions 561 to 1052 of the family's 1533-position model. The record is from RNAcentral. Lineage: Bacteria; Bacillati; Actinomycetota; Actinomycetes; Micrococcales; Micrococcaceae.
GUAAGAGCUCGUAGGCGGCUUGUCGCGUCUGCUGUGAAAGCCCGGGGCUUAACUCCGGGUGUGCAGUGGGUACGGGCAGGCUAGAGUGCAGUAGGGGUAACUGGAAUUCCUGGUGUAGCGGUGAAAUGCGCAGAUAUCAGGAGGAACACCGAUGGCGAAGGCAGGUUACUGGGCUGUUACUGACGCUGAGGAGCGAAAGCAUGGGGAGCGAACAGGAUUAGAUACCCUGGUAGUCCAUGCCGUAAACGUUGGGCACUAGGUGUGGGGGACAUUCCACGUUUUCCGCGCCGUAGCUAACGCAUUAAGUGCCCCGCCUGGGGAGUACGGCCGCAAGGCUAAAACUCAAAGGAAUUGACGGGGGCCCGCACAAGCGGCGGAGCAUGCGGAUUAAUUCGAUGCAACGCGAAGAACCUUACCAAGGCUUGACAUACACCGGAUCGUUCCAGAGAUGGUUCUUCCCUUUUGGGCUGGUGUACAGGUGGUGCAUGGUUGU